GAAGUCUCAGCUACCUCUCCAGCACCAUGUUGGCCUGCUCAUCUCCAGUCCCUCCACAAUGACCGAAUCUCUGAACUGUCUGCACUUGGCAGCCAUGCCAACAGACACCCAAGGAUAGAAUGAAGACUGGGGCUUUGUGCCUUUGAUCCAUCAAAUGUGCUCUUGAAGAUUGGCUUGUCUCUGGGAAAGAGUACAGGAGCCCAGAGCCCAAAUGGCAUAGGCUCAGGAGGGCAAGGGAUCCCGGGGAAGAGCCUAAGAAGAUGGAAGCCUAAGAAGGAGACUUGCUUGAGAAUGGACUUGGAUGCUCAUCCAGGACAGAGGUUCAAACACACACACAUUCUAAGGAGUCACCACAACCCAGUGAGGAGGCAUAACCCUCAUUUUGCAGAUGAAGAAAAGCAGGCACAGUGUACUUGCCCCACAGGGAGUCACUGUCACUAUCUCCUGCCUGUCAUCUACCUGUUGUACUUGUCCCAGUCAGCAAUCCCUAGUCUUUAGACCGUGGGAAGGCCGUGGGUUUAGCAGUUCAGACUCUAGAUGC
RNAcentral lists this long non-coding RNA (541 nucleotides) under Cricetulus griseus (Chinese hamster). RNAcentral describes it as "lncRNA (ENSCGRG00015029822.1)". Lineage: Eukaryota; Metazoa; Chordata; Mammalia; Rodentia; Cricetidae. The record is from RNAcentral.